GUCGCUACUCGGCCUGAUGGCUAAGAUCGAAGUGUAAUAUCUGUUCUUAUCAGUUUAACAUCUGAUACGCUGUCCAUAGGGCGGUCAGAAUAUUAAUCUGCGAGUCGACUCGGCAUUGCAGUAGCGGACAGUUACCUGUU
Molecule: small nuclear RNA, 140 nt
Organism: Megalopta genalis
Lineage: Eukaryota; Metazoa; Arthropoda; Insecta; Hymenoptera; Halictidae
Product: U2 spliceosomal RNA
Source: RefSeq, a predicted model, not a curated record